UUCGCCAGGGGACUACAAGCAUUAGCUUCAAACCCAAAGGACUUGGCGGUGCUUUAGACCCACCUAGAGGAGCCUGUCCUAGAACCGAUAACCCCCGUUCAACCUCACCACUUCUUGCCCAACCCGCCUAUAUACCGCCGUCGUCAGCUUACCCUGUGAAGGAACAACAGUAAGCCAAAUUGGCACAGCCCAAAACGUCAGGCCAAGGUGUAGCUUACGAAGUGUGCAAGAGAUGGGCUACAUUUUCUGAGCCAGAAAACCACGAAAGAGACAAUGAAAAAAUCUCUGAAGGAGGAUUUAGCAGUAAGCAGGGAAUAGAGCGCCCUACUGAAACCGGCCCUUAAGCGCGUACACACCGCCC
RNAcentral lists this ribosomal RNA (361 nucleotides) under Benthosema fibulatum (spinycheek lanternfish). Its description in RNAcentral is "partial 12S ribosomal RNA". It matches the Rfam family "Bacterial small subunit ribosomal RNA", at positions 868 to 1395 of the family's 1533-position model. The record is from RNAcentral. Lineage: Eukaryota; Metazoa; Chordata; Actinopteri; Myctophiformes; Myctophidae.